Amphiprion ocellaris (clown anemonefish) is the source of this 1114-nucleotide long non-coding RNA. Lineage: Eukaryota; Metazoa; Chordata; Actinopteri; Pomacentridae. The record is from Ensembl.
GUUCCACCAGAUGAAGGAGCCUUUUGAGAGGCAGCUGGCAUCGUGAUUGGACUGUACUUUGGUCUGUUCCAAUCCAGCUUCAGCUCCAGAGACGGCAGGCGGGACGAGUCAACGGAGGCCGGGUGGACGAAGGCAUGCAGCUGAGUACAAUCCAGAAAACAACAGAGGAGGAGUGCAGUGGCCCACAGCUAGAACAACCAGAACCAAAGAACUACAGACUCUUCACAACCUGCUCAAACUCUUGGUACAGGACCUCACCACACGGGUCAAGAAGGUUUCCAUCUCAUUUCUACUCUGAAGCUCACCUUCUCCUGCUCAAACUGCUGACAAAUGUUUCUGCUGCUCUCAAGUCUGGUCUCCAGAACUUCCUAAAAACUCUCAGUCUCUUCUGCUGCAGGUUGCUUUGUAGAACUGUUGCAGAAAACCUCACUAAACCACAUGGAGGGGCCUCAAGAUAGUCAUCCAAAUGAAACCGUACAAAAACCAAACUAGCACAACCCAAACGCUAAAGUCUCCUGCAGCCUACCAGAGAACCUCUGAGAACAGAGAAUCAGGACAGGAACUCUUACCUUCUGGACAACCAACGUUGGUUCACAAACAAGAAUUCAGAAUGUGUCUGACCAAAAACCUCUAAAGACUCACUACAGCCAAGAUAAAGACACAACUCAGCUGUACCAAAUCCACUAAUCACUGCACACAUUAACACCAUGUGCUAACUGUGGCUAAAGAACCACAUUUACCAAGACAACUAUCCAGUACAAAGCCCUAAAACACACCAAGAAACACAUUAAAGACGAUUUUACUGCUGGAAGCUGCAAGCCAACGCCUAAAGAACACACUAAAGCAAUGGAGCCAAACCCGGUUCUGUGGUGAAGAGAAGCAGAGGAAAUGUUUGUCUGCAGCUAAAUAAAGCAGGAAGACACUGAGCUGCUCAGGUGUUCCUGAUAACACCAAGCAGCCACCUGGACAGCCAAUAGGAACACAGCUUACUGGAAGUCCAGAGGGCGGGGUUAGUGAAGGAAAUUUAGUUUAAAGUUGAAGCAGAAAGUUAAUAAAGAAAGUUGAAAACCACCUUCUGAUACCUGAAAUCUCUGAGUUUUCACACAAAGAACAC